GACGAACGCUGGCGGCGUGCUUAACACAUGCAAGUCGAACGAUGAAGCUGGAGCUUGCUCCGGUGGAUUAGUGGCGAACGGGUGAGUAACACGUGAGCAAUCUGCCCUUGACUCUGGGAUAACUGCGGGAAACUGUAGCUAAUACCGGCUACUUUCACUGGAAGGCAUCUUCUGGUGAAGAAAGCAUUUCGGUCAAGGAUGAGCCCGCGGCCUAUCAGCUGGUUGGUGAGGUAACGGCUCACCAAGGCCACGACGGGUAGCCGGCCGGAGAGGGUGACCGGCCCCACGGGGACUGAGACACGGCCCAGACUCCUACGGGAGGCAGCAGUGGGGAAUAUUGCACAAUGGGCGCAAGCCUGAUGCAGCAACGCCGCGUGAGGGAUGAAGGCCUUCGGGUUGUAAACCUCUUUUGGCAGGGAAGAAGCGAAAGUGACGGUACCUGCAGAAAAAGCACCGGCUAACUACGUGCCAGCAGCCGCCGUAA
Molecule: ribosomal RNA, 484 nt
Filed under: uncultured bacterium
Lineage: Bacteria
Description: partial 16S ribosomal RNA
Rfam family: Bacterial small subunit ribosomal RNA
Source: RNAcentral